This 826-nucleotide long non-coding RNA is filed under the name Solanum tuberosum (potato). Its description in RNAcentral is "long non-coding RNA (STUB_LNC001208)". Lineage: Eukaryota; Viridiplantae; Streptophyta; Magnoliopsida; Solanales; Solanaceae. The record is from RNAcentral.
UUUUUAGUAAAGGGGUAAAAAAGGGUGUAAAAGAUAUCAUGGGAAAGACAACAAGGAAACUUGAAGUUGUUUCUCCUGUUCCAGCAGAUAUAGAUAUUGCUAACUCUGUUCAACCUCUUCAUAUUUCUGAGAUUGCUCAAGAACUCAGUCUUAGCUCUCAGCAUUAUGAUUUGUAUGGAAAAUAUAAAGCCAAGGUAGUACCUUUUUAAAUGUAGAUUCAUGUGUUAAAGAUAUGUUCGAGUUAAUUUCUUAGAUGGUCGCUUAACUAAUAGUUAUUAUCUUGGAAAGUUAGUAUCUUUGUUAAAGAAAAUUGGGAUCAAGAAAAAAAAAGUGACUUUUUGAUGAUCUUUCUUGGAUUUUAGCUUGUACUCACUCUGUUGUAUUAUUUUGGUUUACUUUGGUAAUCUAUGUUGAUUGACUGUGGUAGAGUCAGGAUUUUUGUUAAGGAGAUUCAAAAUAUAAAGAACUAAACAUGAAGAAGCCAAUAAGAUUCAACAUAUAUAUAUAUAGUAUAUAUACAUAUUUUUUUUGACAUCUUCAUAUUUCUGAGAUUGCUCAAGAACUCAAUCUUAGCUCUCACCAUUAUGAUUUGUAUGGGAAGUAUAAAUCCAAGGUAGUACCUUUUUUUUCUUCUUUUCUUACAUGUUACCAUUGAAGGUAGAUUCAUGUGUUAAAGAUAUGUUCGAGUUGGUUUCUCAUAUGGUCGCUUAACUAAUAGUUAUUAUCUGGAAAAGUUACUUUCUUUGUUGAAGAAAAUUGGAAUCGAGAUAAAAUGUGUUUUGACUUGGUACUCUGCUGUAUUAUUUUGGUUAUCUAUGUUGAUUGG